CCUUGUGGAGGAGGACGCCGAAGGUGGGGCUAAUGACUGGGGUGAAGUCGUAACAAGGUAGCCGUACCGGAAGGUGCGGCUGGAUCACCUCCUAACAGGGAGACAACAAAAUGUUUAAUAUUAUUAUUUUGUCACCUUAGGUCGAUCGGUAUCUCACGUUCUUAAUUCGUUAAGAAUUUCAUUUCCUAAGUUUUUCUAGGUCACACCCAUUAUUUUUCCUGGGCCAUUAGCUCAGGUGGUUAGAGCGCACCCCUGAUAAGGGUGAGGUCCCUGGUUCAAGUCCAGGAUGGCCCAUAUCUCUAUGUUGGGGGUAUAGCUCAGUUGGUAGAGCGCCUGCUUUGCAAGCAGGAUGUCAGCGGUUCGAGUCCGCUUACCUCCACUGAUUACCACCUCUUCCAUAACCGAUAGAAAGGAAAUGUUUUGAGUUGUGAUCAUUAUUCUGAACGAAUCUAGCUUCCUAAUGAAAUCAUUAAGAUGCUGGACUCAUUGAAUUAAUUUCAUUGUUUUCAGAGAACCUUGACAACUGCAUAGAUUAUUUUUAAAGACAAUAAGCAUCUUUAAUGAUGCAGAUUUAUUAUUUGUGCGAAUGCAUUAAUAACAAUUCUAUUAAGCUGAUGCUUCAAUUUUUGAAGUUAUUGGUCAAGCUACAAAGGGCUCACGGAGGAUACCUAGGCACACAGAGGC
RNAcentral lists this unclassified non-coding RNA (684 nucleotides) under uncultured Prochlorococcus sp. Its description in RNAcentral is "partial may contain 16S ribosomal RNA, 16S-23S ribosomal RNA intergenic spacer, and 23S ribosomal RNA". The stretch from base 1 to 95 matches the Rfam family "Bacterial small subunit ribosomal RNA", at positions 1439 to 1533 of the family's 1533-position model. The record is from RNAcentral. Lineage: Bacteria; Bacillati; Cyanobacteriota; Cyanophyceae; Synechococcales; Prochlorococcaceae.